CAAGACCUCCCCCUCCCGUGUGGACAACCCACGCCUCCAGUGCCUGUCUGCCAUCAUGUUUGCAUCUGAGGCAGGUCUGCAGCCCAUCUGCCAGGAGGAGGUGCAUGCAAUUUUCCCUCAGCUGUUCCUGGCACUGCUUUUCCAAGUGACAUUCACCACGGAGCUGAGGCCUGAUGAGGUGCUGAUGUGGUGGGGGAAGCAACAUCAGCAUCUCUCUCCUGUCAGGGCUGCAGUGCAGUCCAUGAGAGUGCUGCUCUGCAGAAUGGGCUUUCGGAGCCAGGUGUUUGCCAUCGAGGCACAAGGUGGCUGGGAUGCCCUGCUCAGUGCCCCUACCCACCUCGCAGGAGUGCGCACUGUGGCCAGGGAGAUGAUGGUAAUGCCAAGGUUCCUGCGCUCCUCCUUCUUCUGCCA
This is a long non-coding RNA of Pogoniulus pusillus (Red-fronted tinkerbird), 411 nucleotides long. RefSeq lists it as uncharacterized. The transcript has 4 exons. Lineage: Eukaryota; Metazoa; Chordata; Aves; Piciformes; Lybiidae. The record is from RefSeq and is a predicted model, not a curated record.